RNAcentral lists this unclassified non-coding RNA (533 nucleotides) under Hevea brasiliensis (rubber tree). The record is from RNAcentral. Lineage: Eukaryota; Viridiplantae; Streptophyta; Magnoliopsida; Malpighiales; Euphorbiaceae.
GGGUUCUUCUCUUCAGCAACCUGUUUGGGUUAAGGGAUCGGCUUUCCCUUUAAAGGGUGAAGUGAAACUUAAUGGGGUCAGAUUAUGGUUUGUUAAGCCUUGCAAAGCCUCUCAACUUGAUGGGAGCUUGGUUUCAGGAAGGCCUCCUUCUUCUGUUUCUGUUCCUAUCCCAGAAAUGGGAGGUGCUGGGAACAACUUUGUAGAUUAUGGAUUGGGUGAAGCUGAUCCUGAAGUCCGUGGUAUUAUUGACAAAGAGAAGGAACGCCAAUUUCGUAGCUUAGAGCUUAUUGCCUCUGAGAAUUUCACAUCUCGAGCAGUGAUGGAGGCGGUGGGUUCUUGCCUUACAAACAAAUACUCCGAAGGACUACCAGGCAAAAGAUAUUAUGGUGGAAACGAGUACAUUGACGAGUUAGAAAUACUCUGUCAAGAGAGGGCUUUGGCAGCCUUUAACUUAGAUGGGAAACAGUGGGGUGUCAAUGUUCAACCCCUAUCUGGUUCUCCAGCAAAUUUUGAAGUCUACACAGCAGUUCUCA